This 87-nucleotide transfer RNA is filed under the name Aspergillus sclerotiicarbonarius CBS 121057. RNAcentral describes it as "tRNA-Ile". It matches the Rfam family "tRNA". Rfam says of the family: Transfer RNA (tRNA) molecules are approximately 80 nucleotides in length. Lineage: Eukaryota; Fungi; Ascomycota; Eurotiomycetes; Eurotiales; Aspergillaceae. The record is from RNAcentral.
GCCCACUGUAGCUCAGCGGUAGAGCGCUCCACUGAUUCUUAGGACUAUUGUUAGGACAGGGUCGCGGUUCGAAUCCGCGCAUGGGCA